UCCUUAGAUGUUCUGGGCCGCACGCGCGCUACACUGACGAAUGCAACGAGCUUAUAACCUUGUCCGAAAGGUCUGGGUAAUCUCCAAAUUUCGUCGUGAUGGGGAUAGAUUAUUGCAAUUAUUAAUCUUCAACGAGGAAUGCCUAGUAAGCGCAAGUCAUCAGCUUGCGUUGAUUACGUCCCUGCCCUUUGUACACACCGCCCGUCGCUCCUACCGAUUGAAUGGUCCGGUGAAGCGUUCGGACCGUGGCCUUUGGACGGUUCGCCGUCUGUUGGCUGCGGGAAGUUCGUUAAACCUUAUCAUUUAGAGGAAGGAGAAGUCGUAACA
RNAcentral lists this ribosomal RNA (327 nucleotides) under uncultured eukaryote. RNAcentral describes it as "partial 18S ribosomal RNA". It matches the Rfam family "Eukaryotic small subunit ribosomal RNA", at positions 1470 to 1796 of the family's 1831-position model. The record is from RNAcentral.